Molecule: long non-coding RNA, 591 nt
Filed under: Mytilus galloprovincialis (Mediterranean mussel)
Lineage: Eukaryota; Metazoa; Mollusca; Bivalvia; Mytilida; Mytilidae
Source: RNAcentral
CGACAACUAAUGUAAAUAAUACCCAACUGAAAAAACCAAGAAACCGCAAUAUAUUUAGUUCUAUUUUAUGUUGUUUUGGAAAUAAUAAUAAUAACAAUAACCCAACAGCUAACUGUCAAGCUCCUGUGGUCGAAGAAAACGGGAAUCCAAGGGUAAGACUAAAUACCAGAAUAAUACUUGAAUAAAAGCACAAACUAUACCCAUAAGACGAUUAAAUGCAUAAUUAACAUUUACAAUAUCAUGUAAGAACAAUAUCACAAUAUCAUCAUGACCAUGGCGAUAUUAAAAUGAAAUAAAAUUUUGAACUGCACAACACAAUACACAUCACAAAUAUUCUCAAGUGCCCCCUGCAAACUGUUAACCACCUGUGAUAGAAACAUAAAGGAAAUCAAAGGGUUAACAAGUGGAGAUAUCAACAAACAUGUCAGACUUAUAACAAAAACCUAACAGCAAACUGUCAAUCUGAUGUAGAAAAAAACCCAACAGAAAUGCUACAGAAUGUCUAUCAUUUCAACUAACGCAACUUUAAGGGUUAUAAACUGCAUCAAUAAAAAUUUUACAAGGUGAUUGCAAAAUAACAAAGUGUGAGGG